GAUUGCUUGGCGCAAUGGUAGCGCGUAGACCUCCUAUAAAGUUAAUCUUCUGGUUGACUUUUAGAAAGUCUAAGGUUGCGGGUUCGAGUCCCGUGGUGAUCG
Poronia punctata is the source of this 102-nucleotide non-coding RNA. The record is from the annotation of a GenBank genome assembly. NCBI's taxonomy places the organism in Eukaryota, Fungi, Ascomycota, Sordariomycetes, Xylariales, Xylariaceae.